Molecule: ribosomal RNA, 406 nt
Filed under: uncultured bacterium
Lineage: Bacteria
Description: partial 16S ribosomal RNA
Rfam family: Bacterial small subunit ribosomal RNA
Source: RNAcentral
AGUGAACGCUGGCGGCAGGCCUAACACAUGCAAGUCGAGCGAGCGGCGGACGGGUGAGUAAUGUCGGGGAAACGGCCUGAUGGAAGGGGAUAACGACGGGAAACGGUAGUUAAAACCGAAAACGAAGAGAGGGGCCAAGUUGUGACUGGCUGGUAGUUGGGGAAUCGGCUCACCUAGGCGAGGAUCCCUAUCUGGUCUGAGGGGAUGACCAGCAACACUGGAGCUGCGACACGGUCCAACCUCCUACGUGAGGCACCAGUGGGGAAUAUUGCACAAUGAGCGCUAGCCUGAUGCAGCCAUGCCGCGUGUGUGAAGAAGGCCUUCGCGUUGUAAAGCACUGUCAGCGGCGAGGCGUUACCCGCAGAAGAAGCACCGGCUAACUCCGUGCCAGCAGCCGCGGUAAUUC